UUGAAUCUGGAGCUAGUAGAAAGUUAAAUAAAGGCCUUAAGAAAAUCUUUUCUCCUCCCAAGUGAAAAUAGCUUUUAUUAUAUUUAUGAUUUUUAAAGAAACUAUGCAGGAAAGUAUUGAGAAUUACUGAAAAUUACACUAUAGAUCCCUGACACAGUAUGACAAAAACAAGGAAGUUGGUUGGCACUGUUGGCUUGGGGUGGGGUGAGGAGGAAGAGUGGUGACAGGAAGGACAGGUAACAAGAAGCAAGGCCUGGUGGGAUAGGCGGUAGGAGGAUUGGUGGGAUAGGGGGUGCAGACCUUCAUUAGUAACCAGAGAAGGGCAAACUCCAACCUUCCAUCGGUGAUGCUACUUGUGGCCCCUCAAGAUUGGUGAGGACCAGAGUGACAGGGUGGUGUGCACUGAGGCACUGUUUACAAAGGGGUGUAUAUGGUGGGAAUGUGCUGGGGCUUUCUGUUGCACUGCUUGCCAGCCUAGAAGUGGGGUACAGGGGUUGAGAGAUUGAGCUCUGCCAUUAGUAGAGACCCUCACGUGACCACGAGCCAAGGUGUGAGUAAAUUCCUCUUAUUCAGGUCUUUUUUUUUUUUUUUUUGCAGCACUCCUCUUUUCUGUUGAGACAGGCUAGUGUCUGGCCCAGAGGAUGAUGGGGAGAAAGACACUUUUCCAGAAUGGAGCAGGAGUAACUGCAGUCAAAAAGAAAAAGGGAGAAACAACUUUCAACAUGGAAAAUUCCCCUCAGGAAAAUGAAGAAAGAUUUCAGAAUGUAGAGGAGAGCUACAUUUGGAAGAAACUGAAGGCCAGGAAGUUAGACAAGAUAAUCACCAGGAACAAACUCCACCUACACAGGAAGAUGGAGAUUGCAUGGCCCAUAGGUAUAACAGUGAAGGGAGAGGGAGGAGGAGAAGAGGACAAUGAGGAGAAAAGUGUCUGGAAGAGAUUUUAAAAACUUAAGAAAUGCAUUUAGAGUAAUGCAUUGGAUGAAAAGACAGUCCAGGAAGUGGCCUUAUUUCAUUUAGUGUUUUUUUGUCUUGAACUGUUUUUUCUUAUAAUUUUAAGGCUUCACUUUUAAGUUGCAUUUCCUAGUCAGUCAUAUUUUCACUCAUUUUUUUUAACCUUUUGAUGAUAUUGAUUUUGGAUGUUCUUGUUGUCACCAGUAUCCCACUAGAUUUUGUUUUAUGGUUUCAUAUGCAAUUCUGCAUUUCAAUACAGGAUUUUUGCCAUUUGUAUAGAAAAAGCUCAUAUAUAUACACACAAGUACAUAGACACACACAUAUAUAUGAUAUCCUAAUUUAAAAUAGGCAUAUUUAUAUGUUACAUGUGUGCAUAGAAAAAAUUUGGAUAAGAUGUACAUGAAAAGUUUAAUAAUACUGGUUUCUCUCUAAGGGGCAGAUUUAUGGAAAAUUUUUUAUUUUGCAUAUCUGUAUUCUCUCAUUUUUUCAAAAGAAUAUGUUUAACUUGCGUCACAACAUUAAUAAAGAGUCUAAAAAUAAAAAAUUGAAA
Molecule: long non-coding RNA, 1501 nt
Organism: Callithrix jacchus (white-tufted-ear marmoset)
Lineage: Eukaryota; Metazoa; Chordata; Mammalia; Primates; Cebidae
Source: RefSeq, a predicted model, not a curated record